Molecule: transfer RNA, 55 nt
Filed under: Horabagrus brachysoma (Gunther's catfish)
Lineage: Eukaryota; Metazoa; Chordata; Actinopteri; Siluriformes; Bagridae
Description: partial tRNA-Ser
Source: RNAcentral
AAAGAGGCCUGAGGCAGUAAGGACUGCUAAUCCUUAUCCCCACAGUUAAAUUCCG